Molecule: non-coding RNA, 206 nt
Filed under: Paramoeba aestuarina
Lineage: Eukaryota; Discosea; Flabellinia; Dactylopodida; Paramoebidae
Source: RNAcentral
AUUUUCAAAUGUUUUCUCUCAUCCCGCUACCGUCCCGCCUCUCAACACGAGUGAGCCCUCGACGCCUAGGGACGAAGAAGAAGUCAUUGAUCUUGAUGAAGACGACCCUCACUUUGCUGACUUGCUUCGAGAUUGUCACUCUGGUGGAGACGAGUUAGAGGAGUCCGCCCAACAGUUAGCAGAAAAUCGAUUUUUUCAAGGAUUCU